GUAAUCAGAUGACUCUCUUCAGCUUGUUAACUAAAUUCAUUUCUCAGUUGGUAAGCAUCAUGUCACGGACACCCAAAUAACUAGACCGUGCGGUCUUAGCAUUCAAUAAUUUCUUUCCCUCACGAGAAAAUGUUAAGUUAGCCUUUCAAUACUUACAAAUAAUUUAACCAAUGAGGCUAAAUUAUAACAACUUUAAGUAGAUGAUUUGAAAUAGGAAAUAUAAGGAAAACAACUAAGUUUUUGAGAACUCUCUUUAUAUAUAAAUGAAAGAAAAACUUUACAAUCUCUCUCAAGUAUUCAUCUCAUCUCACUCCAUAUGAUUUACAAAUAAGACAUCUCUAUUUAUAGGCAAAACCUUGCAAGUCGUCUUGGAAUCAAUGGCCAAAAUUAAUUUUCAUCCAAAGGUCCACAUUGGUUGCUAGUUGCAUUAAUCUCAUUUGAUCAAGUAGUAAUUCUCUGCAUUUUCCAAUGUAAGUUGCAUGUUACUUUCUAACCUCAUGCUAGUUGGCAUCAAGAUGUAUAUCUCUACAAUUCAAAGCCUACCGCAAAGUUCAUAAAGGCUUGGUUAGAAGGUUUGAAGGUUCAUUUCCCAUCAUGGCUAAAGUUGGAAGAGCUUCCUACUGGCUAGAUCUCCCAAGCACUUUGAAGAUCCACCCAGAAUUUCAUGCAAGCAUGUUCAAGCCAUAUAGGAAGCCAUACAGGCUGGACUUGGAAGAUCCGGGAAGAAACAAAUUACAAAGGGCGCCUCCCAUUGUAACAAAAUCUUUUGAGAAAGACGUUGAAUUCAUUUUGGACGAUCGAGAGGUGAGACAGAGGGGCGUUUUCCCUUUCUCUAAGUUAAAAACUGCUAUUUUGGGAAGGAAAAAUACAAUGGAUUGCGGUCGGAUGUUUUGGGGACACAAGUGGGCAACUUGGCCAACUUGUACAACUUGUGCCACUUGUCUAUUUGUGCCACUUGCAAGAUAAUGCCAAGGAGGAAAUAAAGUUCAAUUUGGCUACUAUGAAAGUGACUUGUUCACUUACAUGUGAAUUGUAGAGAUAUGCCACUUGAUGCCAACAAGCAUAAGGUUGGUAAGUAACAUGCAACUUGCAUUGGAAAGUGUAGAGAAUUACCACUUGAUCAAAGGAGAUUAACGCAACUUGUAACAUAUGAUGACCAUUGGAUCAAAAUUAGUCUUGGCCAUUGAUUCCAAGACAAUUUGUAAGUGCAAGCCAUUUUCGGCAUUAUCCAAUUGAAUACAAGGCUGCGGUGAUUGAGUUGCUUGGAAAAGCUUCUGUAAUUUAUUCUAAAAGAUUACGGCAACUUGAAGGUGAGAAGAUGGGCUUUGAGGGCACACACGAUCAGAUCUCUGGACCCUUUUGAAAUCUAAAAAAAGCUGUAGAGUGAUCAAGUUAGAGUUUCUUGAGGAUUAUCCUUGACUUGAAUGACUUCUUAUCUGUUCCAAAUUCCAUAGAAUAUCACGAGGGUAGAGAUUUUGGAUCUGUGCAGGAUGAACGUAAAGAGCCUUACAUACGUCUAUCCAGCCUACCAAGCAUAAGUGCUCAUGGGGUUCUUGGUCAAUUCCUCUUCGACGUUUGUGUACCCAAGAAUGUGGAAGAUUGGGAUCUAAAAUCAUCACCGUCCUUGAGAAAGGUACUGUCUGCCUCUACACGAAGGAAUUCGUCGUUGAAUCCUAUUAAAUGCAUUUGUCGUUCAAGAUUAUAAAUGACACAAGGACUUCCCUUUCUCAUGAAGACUACUCUGGAUUAACCAGAAAGUAGACACUGUGAUUUGUACAUCAUCUGGGGCAGCAACAUUAUCUGGAAUCUUAUUGCCUUUCUACUGACACCAAAUGUAUAGGUAUCUUAUCGGCCAAUUGUAACUUAUGAUUGUAGAUAGCUGAAGUCAAAUAAGAAUCCGACCUAUUCCUUCUUUUUCUUCUUAUGAUUGUAGAUAGCUGAAGUCAAAUAAGAAUCCGACCUAUUCCUUCUUUUUCUUACUUGAGCCUCGCACUAGAUGUAGAACUAAAAGCAUCUCGCAGAAAUUCUCUGCGAUAUCUGCACGCAAUAGUUAAGUAACUAUGAUACAAACACAAAUUUCCAAGCGAAGGUUGUUUAUUGAGAACCAUAAGAUAUAGUUAAUCUGUCAAUCGCAUUUCUCAUUGUAUA
Molecule: long non-coding RNA, 2148 nt
Organism: Olea europaea var. sylvestris
Lineage: Eukaryota; Viridiplantae; Streptophyta; Magnoliopsida; Lamiales; Oleaceae
Exons: 2
Source: RefSeq, a predicted model, not a curated record